CCGGGGCUUGGGCUUGGCCUUGGGGGCGGGGGCCGCCUCCGGCGCGGCCUCGGGGGCGGCUUCCGGCGCCGCGUCCUGGGC
Molecule: transfer RNA, 81 nt
Filed under: Methylobacterium organophilum
Lineage: Bacteria; Pseudomonadati; Pseudomonadota; Alphaproteobacteria; Hyphomicrobiales; Methylobacteriaceae
Description: tRNA-Arg
Source: RNAcentral